This 484-nucleotide ribosomal RNA is filed under the name uncultured bacterium. RNAcentral's name for it is "partial 16S ribosomal RNA". It matches the Rfam family "Bacterial small subunit ribosomal RNA", at positions 30 to 507 of the family's 1533-position model. The record is from RNAcentral.
AUUGAACGCUGGCGGCAGGCCUAACACAUGCAAGUCGAGCGGAUGAAGGGAGCUUGCUCCUGGAUUCAGCGGCGGACGGGUGAGUAAUGCCUAGGAAUCUGCCUUGUAGUGGGGGAUAACGUCCGGAAACGGGCGCUAAUACCGCAUACGUCCUGAGGGAGAAAGUGGGGGAUCUUCGGACCUCACGCUAUCAGAUGAGCCUAGGUCGGAUUAGCUAGUUGGUGGGGUAAAGGCCUACCAAGGCGACGAUCCGUAACUGGUCUGAGAGGAUGAUCAGUCACACUGGAACUGAGACACGGUCCAGACUCCUACGGGAGGCAGCAGUGGGGAAUAUUGGACAAUGGGCGAAAGCCUGAUCCAGCCAUGCCGCGUGUGUGAAGAAGGUCUUCGGAUUGUAAAGCACUUUAAGUUGGGAGGAAGGGCAGUAAGUUAAUACCUUGCUGUUUUGACGUUACCAACAGAAUAAGCACCGGCUAACUUCGUG